UGACACAGGGAGGUAGUGACAAGAAAUAACAAUACAGGGCUCUUCGAGUCUUGUAAUUGGAAUGAGUACAAUUUACAUCUCUUCACGAGGAUCAAUUGGAGGGCAAGUCUGGUGCCAGCAGCCGCGGUAAUUCCAGCUCCAAUAGCGUAUAUUAAAGUUGUUGCAGUUAAAACGCUCGUAGUCGGAUUUCGGGGCGGUCCCGCCGGUCUGCCGAUGGGUACGCACUGGCGGGCGCGUCCUUCCUCCCGGAGACGGCCGCUACUCUUAACUGAGCGGUGGUCGGAGACGGGAUGUUUACUUUGAAAAAAUCAGAGUGUUUCAAGCAGGCAGUCGCUCUUGCAUGGAUUAGCAUGGGAUAAUGAAAUAGGACUCUGGUGCUAUUUUGUUGGUUUCGACC
RNAcentral lists this ribosomal RNA (397 nucleotides) under Isochrysis galbana. RNAcentral describes it as "SSU rRNA". It matches the Rfam family "Eukaryotic small subunit ribosomal RNA", at positions 452 to 855 of the family's 1831-position model. The record is from RNAcentral. Lineage: Eukaryota; Haptophyta; Isochrysidales; Isochrysidaceae. RNAcentral also lists the same sequence under 1 other name.